CCUUUGACGUUAGCGGCGGACGGGUGAGUAACACGUGGGUAACCUACCUAUAAGACUGGGAUAACUUCGGGAAACCGGAGCUAAUACCGGAUAAUAUUUCGAACCGCAUGGUUCGAUAGUGAAAGAUGGUUUUGCUAUCACUUAUAGAUGGACCCGCGCCGUAUUAGCUAGUUGGUAAGGUAACGGCUUACCAAGGCGACGAUACGUAGCCGACCUGAGAGGGUGAUCGGCCACACUGGAACUGAGACACGGUCCAUACUCCUACGGGAGGCAGCAGGC
Molecule: ribosomal RNA, 279 nt
Filed under: uncultured Staphylococcus sp.
Lineage: Bacteria; Bacillati; Bacillota; Bacilli; Caryophanales; Staphylococcaceae
Description: partial 16S ribosomal RNA
Rfam family: Bacterial small subunit ribosomal RNA
Source: RNAcentral